Oncorhynchus tshawytscha (Chinook salmon) is the source of this 1277-nucleotide long non-coding RNA. The record is from Ensembl. Lineage: Eukaryota; Metazoa; Chordata; Actinopteri; Salmoniformes; Salmonidae.
GAAUAAAACAGUACACUUGGUUAAGUGGAAACUGGUAGUGCAGAAUUGAAUGGAAUGUUUUUUAGUGGCACACAAGAUGAAGUACUACACAGUUGAGACUGGCAAUACUUUGGAUUCUCACAUUCAGUUUAUGAGACGACUCAACAACACCACAAGAUGUUUUACGGAAGUCAAGUCUCCAGAGGAGAGUGAUGUCAUCAUGGCUUUCUGUCCCAUCGUCUCUCGCGCCGGGACUGAUAUUGAAGCAGCACUGCAACAGAUUCCAAAGGGUAAAGAUGUCAUUCUGGUAGUGCUGCAUCACACCUUCAACCCAGACGACACUGUACCUUACAGCAGCAGACUAGUGACCAGAAGUGAUGUAAUACUCACAGUGGACUGUCUGUUCCAUGAGAGACUGGGAGGACUACUGGACUGUCCUCGCAAUGAUGCAGCAGUCAGAAAUAUUAGGCAGAAGUUUGACACAGUGGACUGUCUGUUCCAUGAGAGCCAGGGACUACUGGACUGUUCUCGCAAUGAUGCAGUAGUCAAAAAGAUUAAGCAGAAGCUUGACAUGACCAGAAGUUGUGGCUUCCCAGCUUGGAUUCUAAACGGUGUCAUGUGGGCAGUGUCUUCAGGCUACAACUACGUUUUCAUUCACAAUACACGUCCCUCUACAAGGCCUCGUUCUGGCAAUCUAUCUGUGAUUUGGAGCAAUAUAAUGUGCACAGUGUAUUCAGUCUACAGCUACCUCUGUACACGGCUUUCAUAUGUGAAGGCGCGCUUCUGGGACAAUAAUUAGGUUCCAGUAGGUUCAAAAUCCACAUCCCUCUUCAAGACCUCGUUCCAGAAGUGAUGAAAGCAGUUCCACUUUUGUACCAACAAUGAAGACAUGCUAAUAGUUUUUAUGGAUUCCAUCUUUAAUUCAUGGUCUACUUAAGAAAAUGUCUUUACUUUUGAUGGUAAGAGCACUUGCAGGUGUAAUGUAUAGAAAUUGGGGCCGAUAUUAAAAAUGUUAAUAAAAAUGAAUGGAAAAUAAUAAAGAAGAAACAGGAUCUGUGGAAGGGGAUGCAUCUCAACAUCACUGCUAGUUUGCACAUACAUCAUACUUCUGACACCAGUGUAGCAAACAGUGGGGGUAACCUGGGUUGCUUGACGCAAGAAAAACUUGCUAGCCACAAACUCAAUAGGGAUAGCUUUCUCUUUUCGAGGAGUUUGGAACAGGCAUACAAAGGCUUGACUUUUUCCAAUAGUUCGAUGACUAAGCUGAGCUAAGCUAAACAUUUUUUGUUCAUUUUUUU